Molecule: ribosomal RNA, 498 nt
Filed under: uncultured bacterium
Lineage: Bacteria
Description: partial 16S ribosomal RNA
Rfam family: Bacterial small subunit ribosomal RNA
Source: RNAcentral
AUUGAACGCUGGCGGCAGGCCUUACACAUGCAAGUCGAACGGUAACGCGGGGCAACCUGGCGACGAGUGGCGAACGGGUGAGUAAUGUAUCGGAACGUGCCCAGUUGUGGGGGAUAACUGCUCGAAAGAGCAGAUAAUACCGCAUACGACCUGAGGGUGAAAGCGGGGGAUCGCAAGACCUCGCGCAAUUGGAGCGGCGGAUAUCAGAGUAGGUAGUUGGUGGGGUAAAGGCCCACCAAGCCAACUAUCUGUAGCUGGUCUGAGAGGACGACCAGCCACACUGGGACUGAGACACGGCCCAGACUCCUACGGGAGGCAGCAGUGGGGAAUUUUGGACAAUGGACGCAAGUCUGAUCCAGCCAUGCCGCGUGUGGGAAGAAGGCCUUCGGGUUGUAAACCGCUUUUGUCAGGGAAGAAAAGGGCGACUCUAAUACAGUUGCCUCAUGACGGUACCUGAAGAAUAAGCACCGGCUAACUACGUGCCAGCAGCCGCAGUAA